Molecule: long non-coding RNA, 278 nt
Filed under: Bos grunniens (domestic yak)
Lineage: Eukaryota; Metazoa; Chordata; Mammalia; Artiodactyla; Bovidae
Description: lncRNA (ENSBGRG00000004599.1)
Source: RNAcentral
AUGGUUCUUCCAUUUGGCAUAUUUACUGGCUGGCUUAUCAUGCUUUUCUUGUUUUUUUUUCCUACAGCUGACAAUUUCAGGACAGAACGAGUCCCAAGUGUCAAUUUCAGAGUUCAAAAGCCAGAGAAGAAAGCUGCAUCUUCUCCCCCGGAUGUGCAGUUAACUUUGACUCUGGCAGAGGUAUUGCUGCUGAAGGAUUCUCAGAUGCUUCAGGGAAAUCGAUUUCACAUAAACUGAGAAUUUAGGCACUCUAAGUGAGGGUCCUCAAAUCUCCUGGG